UACGGCCACAUUACGUUGAAACACCGGUUCCCGUAUGACCACUGAAGUUAAGGCAACUUCGAGCCUGGUCAGUACCUAGAUGGGUGACCUCUUGGCAAAACCAGAUGCUGUAA
This is a non-coding RNA of Acanthosepion pharaonis, 113 nucleotides long. NCBI's taxonomy places the organism in Eukaryota, Metazoa, Mollusca, Cephalopoda, Sepiida, Sepiidae. The record is from the annotation of a GenBank genome assembly.